Molecule: ribosomal RNA, 174 nt
Filed under: Narasimhella armeniaca
Lineage: Eukaryota; Fungi; Ascomycota; Eurotiomycetes; Onygenales; Gymnoascaceae
Description: Gymnoascus armeniacus 5.8S ribosomal RNA
Rfam family: 5.8S ribosomal RNA (bases 1-155)
About the family: 5.8S ribosomal RNA (5.8S rRNA) is a component of the large subunit of the eukaryotic ribosome.
Source: RNAcentral
AACUUUCAACAACGGAUCUCUUGUUCCAGCAUCGAUGAAGAACGCAGCGAAAUGCGAUAAUGUAUUGUGAAUUGCAGAAUUCCGUGAAUCAAUCGAAUCUUUGAACGCACAUUGCGCCCUCCGGUAUUCCGGGGGGCAUGCCUGUCCGAGCGUCAUUUACACAAAUCAAGCGCG